GAAAUGCGAUAAGUAGUGUGAAUUGCAGAAUUCAGUGAAUCAUCGAAUCUUUGAACGCACAUUGCGCCCUUUGGUAUUCCAAAGGGCAUGCCUGUUCGAGCGUCAUUUGUACCCUCAAGCUUUGCUUGGUGUUGGGCGUCUUGUCUCCAGUUCGCUGGAGACUCGCCUUAAAGUAAUUGGCAGCCGGCCUACUGGUUUCGGAGCGCAGCACAAGACGCGCUCUCUUCCAGCCAAGGUCAGCAUCCACAAAGCCUUUUUUCAACUUUUGACCUCGGAUCAGGUAGGGAUACCCGCUGAACUUAAGC
RNAcentral lists this unclassified non-coding RNA (305 nucleotides) under plant metagenome. RNAcentral's name for it is "partial contains 5.8S ribosomal RNA, internal transcribed spacer 2, and large subunit ribosomal RNA". The stretch from base 1 to 105 matches the Rfam family "5.8S ribosomal RNA", at positions 50 to 154 of the family's 154-position model. The record is from RNAcentral.